Molecule: non-coding RNA, 22 nt
Filed under: Mus musculus (house mouse)
Lineage: Eukaryota; Metazoa; Chordata; Mammalia; Rodentia; Muridae
Source: RNAcentral
UAGGCACGGAGUAGCAGGACAA